RNAcentral lists this ribosomal RNA (258 nucleotides) under uncultured prokaryote. RNAcentral's name for it is "partial 16S ribosomal RNA". It matches the Rfam family "Bacterial small subunit ribosomal RNA", at positions 524 to 782 of the family's 1533-position model. The record is from RNAcentral.
UACGUAGGGGCAAGCGUUGUCCGGAAUUAUUGGGCGUAAAGGGCACGCAGGCGGUCCUUUAAGUCUGAUGUGAAAUCUUGCGGCUUAACCGCAAGCUGUCAUUGGAAACUGGUCGACUUGAGUGCAGAAGAGGGAAGUGGAAUUCCAUGUGUAGCGGUGAAAUGCGUAGAGAUAUGGAGGAACACCAGUGGCGAAGGCGGCUUCCUGGUCUGUAACUGACGCUGAGGCUCGAAAGCAUGGGUAGCAAACAGGAUUAGA